CCGCAAGGUUAAAACUCAAAGAAAUUGACGGGGGCCCGCACAAGCGGUGGAGCAUGUGGUUUAAUUCGAUGCAACGCGAAAAACCUUACCUACCCUUGACAUCCUCGGAACUUGUCAGAGAUGAUUUGGUGCCUUCGGGAAUCGAGUGACAGGUGCUGCAUGGCUGUCGUCAGCUCGUGUCGUGAGAUGUUGGGUUAAGUCCCGUAACGAGCGCAACCCUCGUCCUUAGUUGCCAGCGAGUCAAGUCGGGAACUCUAAGGAGACUGCCGGUGAUAAACCGGAGGAAGGUGGGGAUGAUGUCAAGUCAUCAUGGCCCUUACGGGUAGGGCUACACACGUGCUACAAUGGGCAGUACAAAGGGUUGCCAAGCCGCGAGGUGGAGCUAAUCCCAGAAAACUGCUCGU
RNAcentral lists this ribosomal RNA (404 nucleotides) under Coxiella burnetii. RNAcentral describes it as "bacterial SSU rRNA". It matches the Rfam family "Bacterial small subunit ribosomal RNA", at positions 886 to 1289 of the family's 1533-position model. The record is from RNAcentral. Lineage: Bacteria; Pseudomonadati; Pseudomonadota; Gammaproteobacteria; Legionellales; Coxiellaceae.